UACGAAGGGGGCGAGCGUUGUUCGGAAUUACUGGGCGUAAAGGGCGCGCAGGCGGCUCUGAAAGUCAGAUGUGAAAGCCCCGGGCUUAACCUGGGAAUUGCAUUUGAUACUCUGGAGCUUGAGUGUGGGAGAGGAGAGUGGAAUUCCCAGUGUAGAGGUGAAAUUCGUAGAUAUUGGGAAGAACACCGGCGGCGAAGGCGGCUCUCUGGACCACAACUGACGCUGAGGCGCGAAAGCGUGGGGAGCAAACAGG
This 253-nucleotide ribosomal RNA is filed under the name uncultured bacterium. RNAcentral describes it as "partial 16S ribosomal RNA". It matches the Rfam family "Bacterial small subunit ribosomal RNA", at positions 524 to 776 of the family's 1533-position model. The record is from RNAcentral.